CCCCCUCCUAAUGGGCAGCGGUAGGAGCAGUUGAUGGUGCGUGUGAGGUCCCGGAGCAUUGUGAAUAAGGUGUCCGCUCCAGCCCGCUUCCCUGAUACUGCAAGGCUCUCCCAGAUUAUCUCCACCUACACACCCACCCAACUAAAUGUUCUUUCUCUCUCAAAAAAGAAAAAAAAUCAGGAAGGACAAUAACAAAACAAAAUAAAAUUAAAACAAACAAAA
Molecule: long non-coding RNA, 222 nt
Organism: Mastomys coucha (southern multimammate mouse)
Lineage: Eukaryota; Metazoa; Chordata; Mammalia; Rodentia; Muridae
Exons: 2
Source: RefSeq, a predicted model, not a curated record